This 253-nucleotide ribosomal RNA is filed under the name uncultured bacterium. RNAcentral's name for it is "partial 16S ribosomal RNA". It matches the Rfam family "Bacterial small subunit ribosomal RNA", at positions 524 to 776 of the family's 1533-position model. The record is from RNAcentral.
UACGGAGGGGGCUAGCGUUGUUCGGAAUUACUGGGCGUAAAGCGCGCGUAGGCGGACCUGCAAGUCGGGGGUGAAAGCCCGAGGCUCAACCUCGGAACUGCCUUCGAUACUGCGGGUCUCGAGUCCGGGAGAGGUGAGUGGAAUUCCUAGUGUAGAGGUGAAAUUCGUAGAUAUCAGGAGGAACACCGGUGGCGAAGGCGGAUCUCUGGGCCGGUACUGACGCUCAGGCGCGAAAGCUAGGGGAGCAAACAGG